This 75-nucleotide transfer RNA is filed under the name Burkholderia gladioli. RNAcentral describes it as "tRNA-Arg". It matches the Rfam family "tRNA". From Rfam's summary of the family: Transfer RNA (tRNA) molecules are approximately 80 nucleotides in length. The record is from RNAcentral. Lineage: Bacteria; Pseudomonadati; Pseudomonadota; Betaproteobacteria; Burkholderiales; Burkholderiaceae.
GUGCCCGUAGCUCAAUGGAUAGAGUACUGCCCUCCGAAGGCAGGGGUUGCUGGUUCGAUCCCAGCCGGGCGCGCC